Pieris rapae (cabbage white) is the source of this 752-nucleotide long non-coding RNA. RefSeq lists it as uncharacterized. Lineage: Eukaryota; Metazoa; Arthropoda; Insecta; Lepidoptera; Pieridae. The record is from RefSeq and is a predicted model, not a curated record. The transcript is spliced from 2 exons.
UCUACGAGAAAAUUCCUAACAUUUACAACACAUUUCUGCAUCUUAUCAAUUUUCAAUAGAAUUUGUUACUGACCAAUUUUCUAUUUCGUUAAUAUUGUGACACGUUCGCUAUAAAUACUGUUAAUUAAUUAAUUUCAUUACAUUUCUAUUGAGUUGACAAAAUGAAAUCCUUCUUCGUGAUUGUGAUUUUACAGGCUGUUGCGCUGAGCGUAAACGCACAGUGCCUACGCUCAUGCGGACCAGCCUUUGCUCCCGUGGCGGCACCUAUUGGUGCUCCUCUGGGCUGCCCGUUAGCCGCUGCACUGGCUGGACCCUGCGGUGGACCUGCCGUAGCCCCAGCCCUCUCCGCUCUUACAGCUCUUGGACCUAACGCAGUCGCUAACAGUCUGGCCGAUACCCUCUCCCUACUCACCGUUAGCAGCUUGCUGGCUGAGAAAUUACCUCUGGGGUACCCCGCGGUGGCACCAGUUGCAUGCGGUUGUGGUAAUCCCUUGGGCUACUCCUAUGUCGUUUAAGUAGUUUGAUUUUCAGAGAAAUAUUUGUCCAAAAGAAUUAUGUAAAAAUCAAUCAUUUUUAAGCUCAAUCAUUUGAUGGCGAUCCCCAAUCUCGAAUUAGAAAGAUUAAUGAAUUGUAAAGUUUAGAAGAAUGUAAAAAAAUUGAGUCACCAAAUAAAUUUCAGAGCUUCCUAUAUUUUGUAAUAUUUGUUUUUUGUAAUAAUUUUUGAUUAGAACGAAUAUAUAUCGUUUAACAAA